RNAcentral lists this ribosomal RNA (879 nucleotides) under Bacillus sp. JC264. Its description in RNAcentral is "bacterial SSU rRNA". It matches the Rfam family "Bacterial small subunit ribosomal RNA", at positions 69 to 932 of the family's 1533-position model. The record is from RNAcentral. Lineage: Bacteria; Bacillati; Bacillota; Bacilli; Caryophanales; Bacillaceae.
CCAUAGGGAGCUUGCUCCCGAAAGGUUAGCGGCGGACGGGUGAGUAACACGUGGGUAACCUGCCUGUAAGACUGGGAUAACUCCGGGAAACCGGGGCUAAUACCGGAUGCUUGAUUGAACCGCAUGGUUCAAUCAUAAAAGGUGGCUUCGGCUACCACUUACAGAUGGACCCGCGGCGCAUUAGCUAGUUGGUGAGGUAACGGCUCACCAAGGCAACGAUGCGUAGCCGACCUGAGAGGGUGAUCGGCCACACUGGGACUGAGACACGGCCCAGACUCCUACGGGAGGCAGCAGUAGGGAAUCUUCCGCAAUGGACGAAAGUCUGACGGAGCAACGCCGCGUGAGUGAUGAAGGUUUUCGGAUCGUAAAGCUCUGUUGUUAGGGAAGAACAAGUACCGUUCGAAUAGGGCGGUACCUUGACGGUACCUAACCAGAAAGCCACGGCUAACUACGUGCCAGCAGCCGCGGUAAUACGUAGGUGGCAAGCGUUGUCCGGAAUUAUUGGGCGUAAAGCGCGCGCAGGCGGUUCUUUAAGUCUGAUGUGAAAGCCCCCGGCUCAACCGGGGAGGGUCAUUGGAAACUGGGGAACUUGAGUGCAGAAGAGGAGAGUGGAAUUCCACGUGUAGCGGUGAAAUGCGUAGAGAUGUGGAGGAACACCAGUGGCGAAGGCGACUCUCUGGUCUGUAACUGACGCUGAGGCGCGAAAGCGUGGGGAGCGAACAGGAUUAGAUACCCUGGUAGUCACGCCGUAAACGAUGAGUGCUAAGUGUUAGAGGGUUUCCGCCCUUUAGUGCUGCAGCAAACGCAUUAAGCACUCCGCCUGGGGAGUACGGUCGCAAGACUGAAACUCAAAGGAUUUGACGGGGGCCCGCACAGCGG